Molecule: long non-coding RNA, 257 nt
Organism: Microtus oregoni (creeping vole)
Lineage: Eukaryota; Metazoa; Chordata; Mammalia; Rodentia; Cricetidae
Exons: 4
Source: RefSeq, a predicted model, not a curated record
ACAAGAAGCUGACAUGAGCCCUUGUUUCCAGUAUGUGAGUCAUCAUUGCCACCAAUGGUCUGGGUCAUUGGCUGUGCACACACAUCCACAGACAGUACAACAACAGCCUCUAGUCCCUUGUUGCUGACCUUUGGGAAGCUGGGCAUGUAAGAAGCUUCUCAGUCUGGACAGCCAUCAGAAAGAAGUGGCUAUGCCACACCCCACUUCUCAGGAAGUCUGUGCACCAUCUGAGUGAAUACCUAUUGCUCACAGAGGAC